GUUUUGUUCUCUCUCCGCAUUCGUCACUAAUCACGUAACGCCAACGUAAUGACCCUGUCAGCCAGAACUGCUUUUGCGUAUGACAGACACCGGAAGUGAGAGAAAAGUGUUUAUUACCUUUGAAAUAUCCAUAAAAUAUGGAUAUUUUUCUUACAAAAAUGCAUGUAUUCACCCCCUGGAGCGGUGUGAGGCACGUUUUAUUAUAAAUGCGCUCGCUUUAUUUGAUGACUUGUGGAAUGUUCAACUGCAACACCUGCUGACUGUAAUGAUAGAGCUUGGAAUAGCCAGGACAAUUUUUUAUAUAACUCCGACUGGAUUCAUCUGAAAGAAGAAAGUCAUAUACACCUAGGAUGCUUCGAUGCCACAGAAAAUGUCUGCCACUGAAUAAAAAAGAACUGGAGCAGUCUUUCACAGUCGAUGGGACUCUUCUGAACCUCUACAGUCCAGAGCUGGAGCAAACGGCCCUGUGUUUGAUGGUUAAAUUUAGCACCGUGUCAGAGACGACCGUUUAACUGAUGACAACCACCAGAUCCAUUCUGUAUCCAGAUCAGAUGGUCACUGUAGUCACCCGGAUCCAGUACGUAUCCAGCCCAGAUGGUGGAUCAGCAUCUAGAAGGGACCUCUACAUCCCUGAAAGACAGCGGAGACCAGGACAACUAGUUGAGCCCCAGAUCCCCUGUAAAGACCUUGUCUCAGAUGACCACCAGGAAAAGACCACAGGAAACAGAUGAUUUUUCUGCACAAUCUGACUGCAGACUGGAAUUGAACUGCUUGUUUUGUCUGGCCAGAGGAGAACUGGCCCCC
This is a long non-coding RNA of Cyprinus carpio carpio, 804 nucleotides long. The record is from Ensembl. NCBI's taxonomy places the organism in Eukaryota, Metazoa, Chordata, Actinopteri, Cypriniformes, Cyprinidae.